GUUCGAUUCCCUAUUGAGUUCAAUACAUUUAGUUCGAUUCCCUACUGAGUUCAAUACAUUUAGUUGAUUCCCUAUUGAGUUCAAUACAUUUAGUUCGAUUCCCUACUGAGUUCAAUACAUUUAGUUGAUUCCCUACUGAGUUCAAUACAUUUAUUCGAUUCCCUACUGAGUUCAAUACAUUUAGUUGACUCCCUAUUGAGUUCAAUACAUUUAGUUGAUUCCCUACUGAGUUCAAUACAUUUAGUUCGAUUCCCUAUUGAGUUCAAUACAUUUAGUUCGAUUCCCUACUGAGUUCAAUACAUUUAGUUGACUCCCUAUUGAGUUCAAUACAUUUAGUUGAUUCCCUACUGAGUUCAAUACAUUUAGUUGAUUCCCUAUUGAGUUCAAUACAUUUAGUUCGAUUCCCU
Molecule: long non-coding RNA, 407 nt
Filed under: Salmo salar (Atlantic salmon)
Lineage: Eukaryota; Metazoa; Chordata; Actinopteri; Salmoniformes; Salmonidae
Description: lncRNA (ENSSSAG00000109916.1)
Source: RNAcentral